UAUGGAUCAAAGCAUUCUAGGCCAGUUACUCUGGCCCAGAACUAAAAAGGAAUAUAUCUCAUGUUUGUCACUGAGUAUAAUGGUGAUAUUUUCUCAAAUAUAGACUCUUUGACCAAAGGCUUUGUUGUGAUGUUGGGAAAAAAAUCCCAUUGAGUUAAAUAUGUUAAUUCACAGAAUAUUUUAUUUAACUUGGAUUCUUAAGGAGUCUUCAAGGAACAUCUGCGGAAAGUGCUGUUCCCAUUUUACAGAUUCAGGAAUCUCGGGUAUAUUGAAGCAAUAGAUCCACAUUCGUCCAACUAAGAGUAAAUAAUCCCAGCUCUGCUGUGUCAGACCCAGUGCUCUUACAAAAAACAUCACGCUGCUUCUGAUGACCAAAUGGAAGAGGAGAAGUCAAGAUGCAUGGCCACCCCUGGGGGGAAAUCAACUGCCUGGGGUUCCCCCUCAUGCUCAUGCCCCCAACUAAAAGCCAA
Mesoplodon densirostris (Blainville's beaked whale) is the source of this 470-nucleotide long non-coding RNA. RefSeq lists it as uncharacterized. The transcript is spliced from 3 exons. The record is from RefSeq and is a predicted model, not a curated record. Lineage: Eukaryota; Metazoa; Chordata; Mammalia; Artiodactyla; Ziphiidae.